CGUGUAUAAAAGCAGCGCGAGCCUCCCUAGUCUCUCUCUCUCUUCCUGCUCUCCACGAGAUGAAGGACCGACAGACUUCUAAUCAUGACUCGACCAGUAAUGGCGCCACCAAGUUUGGACCCUGGCUGUCUGCCUACAUCACAGGUACUGCUGAAAGUGAGAAGACGAAGCACAGACACUUCAUCACUUGCUGGUGACCAUGUCUGACCACUAAAGUGACUGGAUUAGGACUGCUCUCCUAAGGUGACCAUGGCUGACCACUAAAGUGACUGGAUAAGGACCGCUCAUGUCAUGGCAUCACUCUGACUCAUGACCUCAGGUCUGGCAUCGCUGGGCCGUGCGGGCUCCCAACCCUUCCUGCUUCUCAAGAUACUGAUGUGUGCUCUACAAAGUGGAGCGUUGGAGACCUUCACCUGUCUGGGGGAAAUGCUGCAGGCUGUCCCCAAAGGGCAACAAUCUCAGUCAACAAAAGCAUCAUGUUUAACUGCAAUGUUGAAUAGUUGCCAUAACUUUCAUGCACCUUAAAUGAAAAGGUUUGAAAUGUGUAUUGUGAAAACUUGUUUGUAUGCAAUAAAAAAACCCAACUACAAACUAA
Hippoglossus stenolepis (Pacific halibut) is the source of this 595-nucleotide long non-coding RNA. RefSeq lists it as uncharacterized. The transcript has 6 exons. The record is from RefSeq and is a predicted model, not a curated record. NCBI's taxonomy places the organism in Eukaryota, Metazoa, Chordata, Actinopteri, Pleuronectiformes, Pleuronectidae.